This 424-nucleotide ribosomal RNA is filed under the name Salmonella enterica subsp. enterica serovar Typhimurium. RNAcentral describes it as "partial 23S ribosomal RNA". It matches the Rfam family "Bacterial large subunit ribosomal RNA", at positions 137 to 587 of the family's 2925-position model. Lineage: Bacteria; Pseudomonadati; Pseudomonadota; Gammaproteobacteria; Enterobacterales; Enterobacteriaceae. The record is from RNAcentral.
GAUUCGUCACACUAUCAUUAACUGAAUCCAUAGGUUAAUGAGGCGAACCGGGGGAACUGAAACAUCUAAGUACCCCGAGGAAAAGAAAUCAACCGAGAUUCCCCCAGUAGCGGCGAGCGAACGGGGAGGAGCCCAGAGCCUGAAUCAGCAUGUGUGUUAGUGGAAGCGUCUGGAAAGGCGCGCGAUACAGGGUGACAGCCCCGUACACAAAAGCGCAUGUGCUGUGAGCUCGAUGAGUAGGGCGGGACACGUGGUAUCCUGUCUGAAUAUGGGGGGACCAUCCUCCAAGGCUAAAUACUCCUGACUGACCGAUAGUGAACCAGUACCGUGAGGGAAAGGCGAAAAGAACCCCGGCGAGGGGAGUGAAAAAGAACCUGAAACCGUGUACGUACAAGCAGUGGGAGCCCCACCACCAAAGCAUUCU